This is a long non-coding RNA of Cydia fagiglandana, 1011 nucleotides long. RefSeq lists it as uncharacterized. NCBI's taxonomy places the organism in Eukaryota, Metazoa, Arthropoda, Insecta, Lepidoptera, Tortricidae. The record is from RefSeq and is a predicted model, not a curated record. The transcript has 2 exons.
CUAGAUAGAUGGUGCUCGUCAGGGCAAAUCUAAUGAGCCCAAGCACAAUGGAUGAUAAUGAGUAGAUUAGGAUUUCUGGUGACCAACUCCUGACUCCAUCAUGAGAACCUGGACUUCAUCUAGAUCGAUGGUGCUCGUCGGGGCAAAUCUAUUGAGCCCAAACACGAUGGACUUAUUAUGAGUAGAUUAGGACUUCUGGUGAGUUCUGGUGACCAACUCCUGAUUCCAUCAUGAGAACCUGGACCUCAUCUAGAUUCGUGGUGUUCGUCAAGGCAAAUCUAUGGAGCCCAAACACGAUGGAGUUAUGAUGAGUAGAUUAGGAGUUCGGUGACCAAUUCCUGACUCCAUCAUGAGAACCUGGACAUCAUCCAGGUCGUCCGGGUAUAAUAAAAAUGCAAACCCUAACCAGAAUUCAAGUAACACUGAAAAUCUAUCACAUAAGCGAGAGUCGGUUGUUAAAAUUAAAUAUGGUGUAAAAAAUGUACUCUCUUGGAUCAAGAUUUUCUAAUCAUAGUAUACAACACUUCUCGGAACUUGUUUGUUUGUUUACGAAGCAACGUGCGCCUGACGAUCGAGCACAGGUCCGUCCCCUAAGCGCGCUCGGCGGAGAAUGAGCGCGCGGCGUCUCUGCAGCGUGAUUUAUAGGUCUUUUAAAAAAAUAUAGGUUUACGGCAAGAUAGGUCCUACAGUUAUGAUUUUUUUUAAAUGAGUUAACAUAAAGUUACAGUUUGAUAAAAUAUUUUUUUUGUGGCAAAAUAUAAGUCCAAUUUGCGAUAAAAAAAUGUAAUGUAACCCUGUUUUCACCAAAAAAAAUAAGAAAACUCGGAAGGUAUUUUAUCAUUUUUUUUGAAUGAAAGUUCGAUUUUUAAGCAUGUCAGCCCCUCGUACAAGAUAUGGUGAGUUGGAUUGUAAUCAUUCAUGUACCAAAUGAUUCUUGUUUACUGCAAAAUUGAGAACCGAAACGACCCUUCUCACUGCAAAUUUUUAAAAAGACUCCUAAGAAAACUCAUU